Molecule: unclassified non-coding RNA, 230 nt
Filed under: uncultured Clavulina
Lineage: Eukaryota; Fungi; Basidiomycota; Agaricomycetes; Cantharellales; Hydnaceae
Description: sequence contains ITS2
Source: RNAcentral
AACUAUCAAGCCAGGAUGCUUUCUUGCUUCCUGGUCUUGGUUUAUUGGGCUUUGCCGUGCCCCUUCAUUGGGAACGGCUGGCCUUAAAAGCAUUAGCUGACUCCAUGUGGUUAUUGGUAUUCUACUUGGCGUGAUAAUAAUCUGACCGCUGAGAAAGUGUCCUUUCGGGGAUGGCCAAUUUUCAUGUGGGGUUGCUCCUAAUCUCUGGAGCUUUCAUGUUCCAUUUUCAA